GACGAACGCUGGCGGCGUGCUUAACACAUGCAAGUCGAACGGAAAGGCCCUGCUUUUGUGGGGUGCUCGAGUGGCGAACGGGUGAGUAACACGUGAGUAACCUGCCCUUGACUUUGGGAUAACUUCAGGAAACUGGGGCUACUACCGGAUAGUAGCUCCUGCUGCAUGGUGGGGGUGGGAAAGUUUCGGCGGUUGGGGAUGUACUCGCGGCUUAUCAGCUUGUUGGUGGGGGAGUGGCUUACCAAGGCUUUGACGGGUAGCCGGCCUGAGAGGGUGACCGGCCACAUUGGGACUGAGAUAGGGCCCAGACUCCUACGGGAGGCAGCAGUGGGGAAUAUUGCACAAUGGGCGGAAGUGUGAUGCAGAAACGUCGCGUGCGGGAUGACGGCCUUCGGGUUGUAAACAGCUUUCGCCUGUGACGAAGCGUGAGUGACGGUAAUGGGUAAAGAAGCACCGGCUAACUACGUG
Molecule: ribosomal RNA, 468 nt
Filed under: uncultured bacterium
Lineage: Bacteria
Description: partial 16S ribosomal RNA
Rfam family: Bacterial small subunit ribosomal RNA
Source: RNAcentral